GGAAACGUGCCUGAAGUUAAGGACCUCCUUGAUAGGGAGAAUUAUAGGGGUUCAAACCCCCUCGUUUCC
This 69-nucleotide transfer RNA is filed under the name Dryadobates olfersioides. RNAcentral describes it as "tRNA-Ile". It matches the Rfam family "tRNA". From Rfam's summary of the family: Transfer RNA (tRNA) molecules are approximately 80 nucleotides in length. Their secondary structure includes four short double-helical elements and three loops (D, anti-codon, and T loops). The record is from RNAcentral. Lineage: Eukaryota; Metazoa; Chordata; Amphibia; Anura; Aromobatidae.